UUUAAAAUUCUGUCCAGGAAGCUCACCAGCCUGAACAUGUGAAUCCUCCACCGUCUGCACUAUUGAAAACAAGUUAUAUAAUCCCCACUUUCUUGAGGUGGGGGCUAUACAAGCUGGAAAGGCUGGGCUGCUUGGCAUCUGGAGUCCCAUUUUAAGUAAAUAGAUGAGAUUGGUGGCUGGUCCAAUUGUCAUCAAAGAGGCUUCAUCCCAUAAUGGAGGGAAACAGAUGCAGAAACACAGAGCCAAAGAUUAGGAAUAUGAAAAAAGAAAAAAGAAAGCAGACUGAGCAGGCUCUGAAGACCAAACCAGUAAGCAGAACACCCAUGGCCUCUGCAUCAGCUCCUGCCUCCAGGAUCCUGCCCUGCUUGAGUUCCUGUCCUGAUUUUCUUCAAUAAUAAACUGAAAUGUGGAAG
This is a long non-coding RNA of Mastomys coucha (southern multimammate mouse), 413 nucleotides long. RefSeq lists it as uncharacterized. The record is from RefSeq and is a predicted model, not a curated record. The transcript is spliced from 3 exons. NCBI's taxonomy places the organism in Eukaryota, Metazoa, Chordata, Mammalia, Rodentia, Muridae.